RNAcentral lists this long non-coding RNA (934 nucleotides) under Oryza brachyantha (malo sina). Its description in RNAcentral is "long non-coding RNA (OBRA_LNC001573)". Lineage: Eukaryota; Viridiplantae; Streptophyta; Magnoliopsida; Poales; Poaceae. The record is from RNAcentral.
CUAUUUUGGUCAUUUGGGACUAAGUUUACUCCCUAUUUGGUUCAGUAAUGUGGGCUUGCAUCUGCUCGCGUAUCACAUGAUAUGGGGUGAAUAAUUUAGCUCCGGUUUGUUGGUUGGUGACGUGUUGAAAAAUAUUUACCUGUGGUUUAUGUUUGGCAUCGUGUCGUAUCAAGCUCAGCUGUCCAUUCACUGAGUUCUGUACAUUUACCUGGUCAUGGUACUUGUGGGUUCUGCUUUAUGAAGAUGAUUGCAUUUUAUUGAUGUGCUUGGGUUGGCAUGCGUCUCAGUUUUUCAUGUUGAAAUGUUUAAUUCCACUUGCCAUGAUCUUGGUCCUAUGCCUAUGCUACAACCGUGCAAGUGCAGUCUACUGAUCAUGCAAAAUAUGAAAUGUAGAUAAGGUUGAUGCCAUCUAAAUUUUGUGAACGCGAUGUUUAUUUCUUUAUAUGAAGAGGGGCUGAUGUCCCUGUGGGAGUCCAGCUUGUGAGGAUAUGAGAUUAUGAAUAAUUUGUCAGUGUAGAUAAGGCUGCUUCCGCAAUUGUCAUUCUUAAUUUACUUGCUUAGUCAUGCUAGAUUUAUGUGUCGAGGAUCAGGGUUAGUGGUUUUGUCGAUAUCCUCUCGCUUACUGACAAUAAUAGGUUAAUUUGGAUAAAUUUAACUGAAUUUGAUUUUUCAGAUCGGUUUUUUCAAACCUGAUCAUUUUGCAAGCGGUUUCGUUUUCUCGAUUUGGAUUGGCUCGAUAAGUAGAACAAAUUGAUAAUCGAUUGGUUGCCUUGCAGUUCAAUCUUUUUUUUAUUUUAACCAUAAGUGAACUGGUUUACUAACAAUUAAAAUAAUUUUUUACUAAAACGUUUAUCUUUGUAUGGCAAAGACUAACAAAUAAAAUAGGAUGAAAAAGAAAUCCUAAAAUUAAGUUUUUAAACCUUGCGUUGGCACA